CAGGAUGAACGCUGGCGGCGUGCUUAACACAUGCAAGUCGAACGAAGCACUUUAUUUGAUUUCCUUCGGGAUUGAUUAUUUGGUGACUGAGUGGCGGACGGGUGAGUAACGCGUGGGUAACCUGCCUUGUACAGGGGGAUAACAGUUGGAAACGGCUGCUAAUACCGCAUAAGCGCACAGCAUCGCAUGAUGCAGUGUGAAAAACUCCGGUGGUAUAAGAUGGACCCGCGUUGGAUUAGCUAGUUGGUGAGGUAACGGCCCACCAAGGCGACGAUCCAUAGCCGACCUGAGAGGGUGACCGGCCACAUUGGGACUGAGACACGGCCCAAACUCCUACGGGAGGCAGCAGUGGGGAAUAUUGCACAAUGGGCGAAAGCCUGAUGCAGUGACGCCGCGUGAGCGAAGAAGUAUUUCGGUAUGUAAAGCUCUAUCAGCAGGGAAGAUAAUGACGGUACCUGACUAAGAAGCACCGGCUAAAUACGUGCCAGCAGCCGCGGUAAUACGUAUGGUGCAAGCGUUAUCCGGAUUUACUGGGUGUAAAGGGAGCGCAGGCGGUGCGGCAAGUCUGAUGUGAAAGCCCGGGGCUCAACCCCGGUACUGCAUUGGAAACUGUCGUACUAGAGUGUCGGAGGGGUAAGCGGAAUUCCUAGUGUAGCGGUGAAAUGCGUAGAUAUUAGGAGGAACACCAGUGGCGAAGGCGGCUUACUGGACGAUAACUGACGCUGAGGCUCGAAAGCGUGGGGAGCAAACAGG
This 753-nucleotide ribosomal RNA is filed under the name uncultured Lachnospiraceae bacterium. Its description in RNAcentral is "bacterial SSU rRNA". It matches the Rfam family "Bacterial small subunit ribosomal RNA", at positions 25 to 776 of the family's 1533-position model. Lineage: Bacteria; Bacillati; Bacillota; Clostridia; Lachnospirales; Lachnospiraceae. The record is from RNAcentral.